CCACCGAAGAACGUCUCAGUUGCUUCCAAGUUUGGGCAAUUAUGAAUAAAACUGUCAAAGCAUCUGUGUGCAGAUUUUUGUGUGGAUGACUGCCAGGAUUUUAACAGGUAGACAUGCAUUGCAGACAGAGGGGCUUUCCCACAACAUGCUGGUGGACAUCAUCUUCCUCCGAGAGACUGAAAAGCUUGCGGAUUCUGCUAGCUCUUUGGAGCCCCAGGCGACGAGGCACAGUAGUAUCACAUCAGCAGCAACUUCUGUGGCCAUUCGCUUCUCAUAAUGGCAUGAAGUUUGCAUUCAUCAUCCACUGCAAUGAGUUUCUGGCAGCCAGUAGCUGGGAAAGAGAUGUUCAGCUUCAUCGUGAGGCUGCCUACUGCCUCCGAGGCACCACGAGAAAGAGUUAGAAGUAAGUAUCAUUUAGAGUGAUAUCAGAAAUCGGGUGACCGGUUAAGAGGGUAGAGCAAUAGCC
This 466-nucleotide long non-coding RNA is filed under the name Felis catus (domestic cat). Its description in RNAcentral is "lncRNA (ENSFCAG00000053047.1)". Lineage: Eukaryota; Metazoa; Chordata; Mammalia; Carnivora; Felidae. The record is from RNAcentral.